Symphalangus syndactylus (siamang) is the source of this 338-nucleotide long non-coding RNA. RefSeq lists it as uncharacterized. Lineage: Eukaryota; Metazoa; Chordata; Mammalia; Primates; Hylobatidae. The record is from RefSeq and is a predicted model, not a curated record.
CCCCUCAAAAGGGAGGUGCCAAGGCUGAAAGUCAGUUGAGUUCAUUCUUAGAAUUCUGCCUACCACACCUGCACAGAAGAAAUUCCACUUGUGAUGACAGCUUCAGCCCAUGCCCAUGGAGUUCCAUCUUGCCUGUCGUCUUCCCUUCCUGCCUCCCAGUUGGUGAGAACUUUGUCCUGUGCCCACGAUCUUCACUUCCUCACUGUUUUUGGACUUGGACAUCAGCUCCUAAAUUUGUGUGGCAGAAAGACAACAGAGUCUUGCCUGAGAGUGAAUAUUCAAUACACCAGGGGACAUAAAGUUGCAGAGAGCAUCUUUCAACUGAAUCUAGCAUGGGC